CGGGUGUGUAAGCGCAGCGAUGCGUUGAGCUAAUCGGUACUAAUGAACCGUGAGGCUUAACCUUACAACGCCGAAGCUGUUUUGGCGGAUGAGAGAAGAUUUUCAGCCUGAUACAGAUUAAAUCAGAACGCAGAAGCGGUCUGAUGAAACAGAAUUUGCCUGGCGGCCGUAGCGCGGUGGUCCCACCUGACCCCAUGCCGAACUCAGAAGUGAAACGCCGUAGCGCCGAUGGUAGUGUGGGGUCUCCCCAUG
RNAcentral lists this ribosomal RNA (252 nucleotides) under Escherichia coli P0298942.11. Lineage: Bacteria; Pseudomonadati; Pseudomonadota; Gammaproteobacteria; Enterobacterales; Enterobacteriaceae. The record is from RNAcentral.